GGGGGCGUCACGGCUUCGACGGAGAUGCUUGCGGCCAGGAGGCAUGCCGGGGUGCACACACCCGUAAUCGCGUGCAAAACGAUAAUUGCCAACCAAACACUGGCAUACGCAGCUUAAUUAAUUAAGUUGCCGUCCUCCGCGGCUUCGCCCGUGGGCUGCGGUCAGGACGUCAUACAGCGGGCUGGUCUUCCCUGCUACGUCUGGGCAGGAGGACGAGACUUACAGGCUAGUGGCUUGCGUUUCUUGUCCGUUCUGAGCGUCGGCCGCGAACGUCCCGGGCUGGGCCGCAAGGCCUAAUGACUGGGGCAUGAACUGGAAUAAGCAUGUAGUCUCCUGACCAGUAACAUUUUCGGACGCGGGUUCGACUCCCGUCGCCUCCACCA
RNAcentral lists this transfer-messenger RNA (383 nucleotides) under Terriglobales. RNAcentral describes it as "Sulfotelmatobacter sp003225005 Standard tmRNA". It matches the Rfam family "transfer-messenger RNA". Rfam says of the family: Bacterial tmRNA, also known as 10Sa RNA or SsrA, is named for its dual tRNA and mRNA-like properties. Its role is to liberate the mRNA from a stalled ribosome. Lineage: Bacteria; Pseudomonadati; Acidobacteriota; Terriglobia. The record is from RNAcentral. RNAcentral also lists the same sequence under 2 other names.